RNAcentral lists this ribosomal RNA (253 nucleotides) under uncultured bacterium. Its description in RNAcentral is "partial 16S ribosomal RNA". It matches the Rfam family "Bacterial small subunit ribosomal RNA", at positions 524 to 776 of the family's 1533-position model. The record is from RNAcentral.
UACGUAGGGGGCAAGCGUUGUCCGGAAUCAUUGGGCGUAAAGGGCGCGUAGGCGGCCCGCUAAGUCGAACGUGAAAUCCCUGGGCUCAACCCAGGAACUGCGUCCGAUACUGGCAGGCUUGAAUCCGGGAGAGGGAUGCGGAAUUCCAGGUGUAGCGGUGAAAUGCGUAGAUAUCUGGAGGAACACCGGUGGCGAAGGCGGCAUCCUGGACCGGCAUUGACGCUGAGGCGCGAAAGCCAGGGGAGCAAACGGG